This 203-nucleotide ribosomal RNA is filed under the name Klebsiella pneumoniae. RNAcentral's name for it is "partial 23S ribosomal RNA". It matches the Rfam family "Bacterial large subunit ribosomal RNA", at positions 2740 to 2925 of the family's 2925-position model. The record is from RNAcentral. Lineage: Bacteria; Pseudomonadati; Pseudomonadota; Gammaproteobacteria; Enterobacterales; Enterobacteriaceae.
GCCCGGUAGCUAAAUGCGGAAGAGAUAAGUGCUGAAAGCAUCUAAGCACGAAACUUGCCCCGAGAUGAGUUCUCCCUGAGACUAUAAGUCUCCUGAAGGAACGUUAAAGACGAUGACGUUGAUAGGCCGGGUGUGUAAGCGCAGCGAUGCGUUGAGCUAACCGGUACUAAUGAACCGUGAGGCUUAACCUUACAACGCCGAAG